GUAGGUGGCAAGCGUUGUCCGGAAUUAUUGGGCGUAAAGCGCGCGCAGGCGGUUCUUUAAGUCUGAUGUGAAAGCCCACGGCUCAACCGUGGAGGGUCAUUGGAAACUGGAGAACUUGAGUACAGAAGAGGAAAGCGGAAUUCCACGUGUAGCGGUGAAAUGCGUAGAGAUGUGGAGGAACACCAGUGGCGAAGGCGGCUUUCUGGUCUGUAACUGACACUGAGGCGCGAAAGCGUGGGGGAGCAAACAGGAUUAGAUACCCUGGUAGUCCACGCCGUAAACGAUGAGUGCUAAGUGUUAGGGGGGUUUUCCGCCCCUUAGUGCUGCAGCUAACGCAUUAAGCACUCCGCCUGGGAGUACGGCCGCAAGGCUGA
This 374-nucleotide ribosomal RNA is filed under the name uncultured organism. Its description in RNAcentral is "partial 16S ribosomal RNA". It matches the Rfam family "Bacterial small subunit ribosomal RNA", at positions 527 to 897 of the family's 1533-position model. The record is from RNAcentral.